RNAcentral lists this ribosomal RNA (715 nucleotides) under Kudoa paraquadricornis. RNAcentral's name for it is "eukaryotic LSU rRNA". It matches the Rfam family "Eukaryotic large subunit ribosomal RNA", at positions 70 to 644 of the family's 3401-position model. Lineage: Eukaryota; Metazoa; Cnidaria; Myxozoa; Multivalvulida; Kudoidae. The record is from RNAcentral.
UGUGAUUCCCUUAGUAACUGCGAGUGAAGCGGGAAAAGCCCAUCGUUUAAUCUUCCCGGACUAUGGACGGGACGACAUGUAACGGUAUGGAUAGGUUCUCUACCAACAUUGACUGGUCAAAGUCCUCCGGAUUGAGGUGCCAGAGAGGGUGACAGCCCCGUGUGUGAUUGGGCAGUGUUGGGUAUGUGACCGAUUCCGAGAGUCGGGUUGUUUGGGACUGCAACCUAAAGUAGGUGGUAAACUCCACCCAAGGCUAAAUAUUGACACGAAACCGAUAGCGAACAAGUACUGUGAAGGAAAGUUGAAAAGAACUCUGAAAAGAGAGUUAAAAGUACGUGAAACCGCUAACGGGGAAGCGGAAGGCAGUGUCGAGAUUGAGUAAGUGAGUCAUUGCAAGUGUGCUUUGUGGUGUCGCAAGGCGGUGUCCAAUGUGCAUUUAAAGUGGCUAGCUUUGCUCGAUGCGUCAGGACUAUUGGUGUGCGACGGUUCAAUUGCUGGCAUGGCUUCUACGACGCCUGGACUUUACAGAGUCCAGGUUCGUGGUUGCGGCUGGUGAUCCGCCUCGUGUGCUGAUAUGUAUGUGAUGGAGCGUUGGUGAUGUAUGGUCGGUUGGUGAGUUGCGGUGCUUGACACUGGUCACAGUGUGACUACGUGUGGAGAAGUCGUAGCUUAGUUCAACAACCAAUGCUAGCUCCUGACGUGAUACCUAACUUUC